AGCAGGAGCAAGAGCAAGAGCAAGAGCAAGGGUGGGGCCAGAAGUCUGAGUAGAGUUGGGGCGAGAAGCAGGGGUUGGGCGACGCGCCGAAACUUGGUAGGCUGUCUGAAGGUGGCUCCCGGGCGCAGUCUGGCUGGCAGGUGUUGACCCCCUCUUCAGGUUGGAGUCACGUUGCACGCUGCCCCGCGAUGUAUCCUGCUGGCCCUGCGUGGCCGAGACUCCGAAUUCUGCGGGCGCUCUGGGCACUACUGGCGGUACUAUUUGCAUCGUGGAGGCUGUGGGCGUUCCAGGAUAUCCAGGAGUGCACCUGGCAGGUUGUCCUGAACAAGUUCGAGACGGUAGGCAAGAGUGGUGUGAGCGACCGUUUCUUCCAUCAACAGCCCGUGGCGACACUGGACAGUGUGUUUAGCCCGCUGGUGGAUGCACCCACCGACCAGGGCGAGAAAUACCUGAGCUUCCCAUACUACCUGAAGAUCAACUACUCCUGCAAUGGAGAGUCCUCCGAGGCCCAGGUCCGCAAGGGCCACCUGACGGGGCUGAAGCCCGUGGUGCUGGUGACCUUCCAGUCCCCAGUCAAUUUCCAUCACUGGAAGAUAGAACAGCUGCAGAUCCAGAUGGAGGCAGCCCCCUUCCGCAGCGAAGAGCAGCAGUGCACCGCAGAGCAGGUGUGUGUCAUGAGCUGGUACACGCCCAUGCCCAUCAAGAACGGCAGCGUGCUCAUGCGCGUGGACGUCAGCAGCAACGGCCUGGGGCCUUUCAUUCCCACAAAAAGGUUCCAGGUGAACAUCAACGGCUUCCUGCAGAGACAGCAAGACAACACCCUCCACUUCACUGUGGGAAAUGAGAUCUUCAAUCUCAUACCCCGGUACUUCAUGAAUGUCCCGUCGAGGCCCCUGUGGUACACUGUGGACCAGGCACCAGUGCUCAUCCUGGGGGGCAUCCCUGAAGAGAAGUCUGUUCUGCUGACUGACACCAGCUUCAAGGACUCCUUUCUCGUGGAGUUGAACAUUGACAGUUGCUGGGUAGGCUCCUUCUACUGCCCUCAGGCAAUUUUUACGGCUACCAUCUAUGACGCCAUUGCCACCGAAAGCACUCUCUUCAUCCGGCAGAACCAGCUGGUCUACUAUUUUACAGGCACUUACCUCACCCUCCAUGAAAGCAACCACGGCAGUGGGAGCUGGGUUCGUGUCCUGGCCAACGAGUGCAUCAAGAGCCUGUGCCCCGUGCAUUUCCAUAGCAAUGGCUCAGAGUACGUCAUGGCCCUCACCUCUGGCAAGCGGGAAGGUUAUGUCCACUUUGGGACCAUCACAGAUGGCCACGUGUCCUUCCAGGUGCUGCCCAAGCAUCGGUCUGUGUGCGAAGGGAUACAAGUUUUCAACUGCUCCAUAAUCUGGGCCGUAUUCAUUGCUGGUGACUACAUUCUCCUGAUGCUGGUGGAGCUCCAAGACCCCACCACCAGGAAUUAUUUCCAGGUGGUCAGCUACGACUUGGUCAGUGAUAACCUGGUGAUCCUCUACACCAUCCCGGAAUUCAUCCCUGAUGCUCGAGGCCUGGAGUUUCUGAUGAUCCUAGGAACAGAGUCUUACACCAACUUCACGAUGGUACCCAAGGGCAUGUUCUACAACCCGUAUAACAACCUGCUCUUCAUCUGGGGCAACUUCCUCCUGCAGAGCUACAACAAUGAAAACUUCAUCUACCUGGCGGAUUUCCCCAAGGAUCAGUCCAUUAAGUACCUGGUCAACUCGUUCCAUGGAGAAACAGCUAUUGUCACAGAGACGGAGGAGAUCUGGUACCUCCUGGAGGGCAGCUACCGGAUGUACAGGCUAUUCCCAUCCAAAGCCUGGGAGGUGCAUGUCAGCCUACAGGUGAUGCAACAGUCCUCUUUCUACACCCACAUUGAGACCAUGGUCACCCUCUUCUACGAAGACCACCAACUGUACCAGCUGGUGUAUCUCAUGAAUGAUGGGCAGGGCCGGCUUGUCAAGAGGCUUGUGCCUGUGGAGCAGCUCCUGAUGUACCAGCAGCCGGGCAGUCACUACCUCUUGGAGCAACGGGGGAACCACCUGACGCUGUCCUUCACCGACUUCUGCCCCUUCACCGUAAUGCGCUUGCGCGACCUGCCCAACCCGCAGAUCUAUACUCGCCAGGAGCGCUACCGGGCACGCCCGCCCCGCGUGCUGGAGCCCUCGGGCUUCCACGACCAGAACUCGCUCGCCGUCUACCAGGGCCUCGUCUACUACCUGCUUUUUCUGCACUCCAAGUACCACAAGCCUUACGCGGACCCGGUGCACGACUCCACCUGGCGCUGGUGGAAGAACAAGAAAGUGGACCAGGAUUACUACUUCUAUCUGGCUAGCAACUUGCAGAGCGCGAGUAACGUGUACAUUGACAUGGCCAGCUACGAGAAGAUCUACGACCUCAAGGCCGAGCACGAGCUGCCCGAGCGCAUCUACCUGGACAAAGGCACCAGCUACGGCUUCUCCAUCUUCGUGACCGUCCGCGGACACUCGUUAGAGUUCCAGCCGGAGCGCGUGCUCACCACCUUAGAGCUGCGCAGCAAAGUGGAUCUGGGCGUGGUGCUGGCCGAUGCGGACUGCAUCGAGGUGGUGGUAGACCAGAAGGUCCUCAUUAAUCGCAACUCGGUGCUUUUCUGGGUUACGCUCCGUGAUAAAAGGUCUUGCUUUGAUCAGGGCCUUAGUGGACAUCACCUCAUGAAGACGUCCGUGUUGGUCAAGGUGGUGGGCGCGGUCGGGCACUGCUUCGAGAACACACAUCGGGGACUCCACAUGCAAGGCAACUUGAUGAUUCCAUUGCUCAUCGGCUGUCCCCCAGGCAAGCGCCUGGCCUUCGACAUCACCUACACGGUGGAGUACAACCGUCUACAGAACAAACACUACUUUGACUGCGUGCAUGUUGACCCUGAGAUGCCCUGCUUCCUCUUCCGUGAUACCUUCUACCCUUUCUUCUUGAUCCAAGACUUGGUGACAGGAGAGUCGGGCAGUUUUCAGGGCAGCUACGUGUUCAAGGUGGUAGGCGGUGGGCCCACGAUGGACACUCUCAUUGAAUACAGCGAGGAAGAGAUUUACCGCUUCAACAGCCCCUUGGACAAAACUAACAGCCUCAUCUGGACCACCAAGAACACAACGACCACAAACGACUCAGCCUUCAACAUCAUGACCCACCAGAGUUUGGGCAUUGAGAGACCUCUUGAUUUUCAAGCCACUGACUGCCUUCGUGUCCUUCAAAUGGGGUGACUCUUUGUCUGCAGGGCUGGUCCCUCUUCCUCUUUCUUCAGGCUUAGGUCCCUUCAUCCAGGGAGACUUUUCUGCCAUUCUAAAUGGGACAUUGGUUCCCAUGUCCUCCUGUGCUUUGCCCCUUCUAACCCUCACCUCUCUGCUUGUACUUCCCCCAUCCCAACCUGCCCCUCUGGGCUGUCCCUCUCUCUUGUGGGGUCUAUCUCCCUUAUAGGUCCAGGUCCUGAUAGACUAAACAUAGUAUUUGUUGAAUGAGAAAAUGAAGGAAUUCAUUCAUUCAUGGUAGGCAUUUAUUGACAUUUGAAUGGAGGUCAUGAUGAAUGAAUAAAACAAUGGAGGAACAAAUUAAAAUACAGAGGCUCAUUAACUAUUUUUGAUUCAGUGAAAGUAAGAAAAUGAUACCAUGAGCAAAUGAAGGAAGUGAAUGAAUGAAUGGAGCAACCAACUUGCACCAAGUCAGUAGUCAACCUAACUUACUGAAUAAGUGAAUAAAGGAAAGCAUAAACGAAUGGAGAUAUGACUUUGUGCCUAGCAGGUACUCAAGGUAUAUUUGUGGGAUGAAGGAAUGAAGGCAGCAAGGAAAAAAUGAUGAGUUGGGACAUGAUAGAUACACACUCUGUAAUCUAGAGGAUUGCAUUGUAAUGGAGGAAUUGGCAGAUGGCGAUGUUAAGGCGGGAGGUCAUGAAUGAGUGAACAGCCCAUCACAUGGUAGACAUGGAGUCAGCCUUACUGGAUGAAUGAAUGAAGGAGAGAAUCAGGGGAAGGGGUGGCUGUGUCUGGAGAACUCCCCCUGCCAUGACACCAUUCCCCACAGCAUCUUUGCCCCCGAGUUCUUCUUUAAGGUGUUGGUGAGCAACAGAGGUGUGGACAAGAGCACA
Molecule: RNA transcript, 4132 nt
Organism: Mustela lutreola (European mink)
Lineage: Eukaryota; Metazoa; Chordata; Mammalia; Carnivora; Mustelidae
Gene: CATSPERG
Gene name: cation channel sperm associated auxiliary subunit gamma
Exons: 28
Source: RefSeq, a predicted model, not a curated record